RNAcentral lists this ribosomal RNA (68 nucleotides) under Coralliophila erosa. RNAcentral's name for it is "partial 28S ribosomal RNA". It matches the Rfam family "Eukaryotic large subunit ribosomal RNA", at positions 1 to 66 of the family's 3401-position model. RNAcentral also lists the same sequence under 1 other name. Lineage: Eukaryota; Metazoa; Mollusca; Gastropoda; Neogastropoda; Muricidae. The record is from RNAcentral.
UCCGACCUCAGAUCGGACGAGAUUACCCGCUGAAUUUAAGCAUAUCACUAAGCGGAGGAAAAAAAACU